Molecule: non-coding RNA, 83 nt
Filed under: Aurantiochytrium limacinum
Lineage: Eukaryota; Bigyra; Thraustochytrida; Thraustochytriidae
Source: RNAcentral
UCUUCAUUAAAAAAAAAAAAUCAAUGAAAAAAUUCCAAGUUUUUAUUUGUUUCUUCUUUUUUAAGAAAAGAGAAGGCAAAUGU